This 347-nucleotide ribosomal RNA is filed under the name uncultured bacterium. RNAcentral describes it as "partial 16S ribosomal RNA". It matches the Rfam family "Bacterial small subunit ribosomal RNA", at positions 338 to 677 of the family's 1533-position model. The record is from RNAcentral.
CCUACGGGUGGCAGCAGUGGGGAAUAUUGCGCAAUGGGCGAAAGCCGGACGCAGCGACGCCGCGGGAGGGAUGAAGGUCUUCGGAUCGUAAACCUCUGUCAGCAGGGAAGAACGGUCACUGUGCUAAUCAGCAGUGAAUUGACGGUACCUGCAAAGGAAGCACCGGCUAACUCCGUGCCAGCAGCCGCGGUAAUACGGAUGGUGCGAGCGUUAAUCCGAAUUACUGGGCGUAAAGCGCUCGUAGGCGGUAUGUCAAGUCAAUGGUGAAAUCCCCGCGCUCAACGUGGGAACUGCCUUUGAAACUGGCAAACUUGAGUGUGUGAGAGGAUAGUGGAAUUCCAGGUGUA